AACCCAUGUUGAGGGCAUUCUUACAAGUAACCCUUGUAUCACUCCCACGCCUCAUAUAUUGACUCACCAUCUUCUUGUUGGAAGUUGGUGAUCUAGUUUCUUAACUC
Molecule: non-coding RNA, 107 nt
Organism: Glycine max (soybean)
Lineage: Eukaryota; Viridiplantae; Streptophyta; Magnoliopsida; Fabales; Fabaceae
Source: Rfam